GGCUGGUCUGAAAGUAGUGCAUUAUCUCAAUUGCAUGUUCACAGUCAGUUACAGACCAAACUCCUUGUUCUACUCUUUUCUCCCCUUCUCACUACUGCACUUGACUAGCCUCAA
Gorilla gorilla gorilla (western lowland gorilla) is the source of this 114-nucleotide unclassified non-coding RNA. It matches the Rfam family "Y RNA". Rfam says of the family: Y RNAs are components of the Ro ribonucleoprotein particle (Ro RNP), in association with Ro60 and La proteins. The Y RNAs and Ro60 and La proteins are well conserved, but the function of the Ro RNP is not known. In humans the RNA component can be one of four small RNAs -- hY1, hY3, hY4 and hY5. The record is from Ensembl. Lineage: Eukaryota; Metazoa; Chordata; Mammalia; Primates; Hominidae.